AUGAAUAAAAAUGCUAGCCCUGGCCCGGACAGUUUUGGCCCUGGGUUCUACAGGAAAUUUUGGCAUAUUCUCAAAGGUAAAAUCCGCAACUUCUUCGCUGAUUUUCAUGCCCUGCGUUCGGACAUCUCCUGCCUCAACCGAGCCCUCAUUAUUCUUCUCCCGAAGAAUAAUGACGCCAGGUCCCCAAAUGACUUUCGCCCCAUCUCCCUCCAAAAUUGCCCUAUCAAAGGUGUUGCCAAACUCCUUACCAACAGACUUAAAGCUCAUAUCCCUCUUCUGGUCCACGCCGACCAAACUGGCUUCCUGUCUGGUCGCAAUAUCUCUGAAAACUUCCUCUACGCCGCUGACAUUCUUCACUGCUGCGCCAAGAAAAAGGCUCCAGCCAUCGUCGUCAAGCUGGACUUUCGGAAAGCGUUCGACUCAAUCUGUUGGUCCUCCCUCCUCCACACCUUACAGGUUAGGGGCUUCCCACCUCGCUGGUGUGACUGGAUCUGAUCUCUGCUUACCACUGGAUCCACCGCUGUUAUGCUUAAUGGCAUCCCAGGGAAGUGGAUCCAAUGCAAGAACGGACUCCGGCAAGGUGACCCCCUAUCACCUUACAUGUUCAUCAUUAUGGCCGACAUUCUACAACAAAUGAUCAUUAAUGCUCACAAGGAUGGUACUCUUUUACACCCCCUGUGUCCCCACCUCCCGUGCCCUGUUCUGCAAUAUGCGGACGUCACUCUAAUCAUCGUUAAAGCUACCACGAAUGCAGCCAAGCACCUCAAACACAUCCUAGACGCCUUUGCCGCAGCCACUGGCCUACAAAUCAACUUCACCAAAACGACAUUCAUCCCCCUUAAUGUGGAUCCGCAGGAUGCCGCUCUAAUGGCCUCUGACCUUGGAACGAACAUCUCCUCCUUUCCUCAAACCUACCUAGGACUACCCCUCUCCCCGCAUAAGUUGCCGCCCUCUGCAUUCCAGCCUGUCAUCGACCGAUGCGACACCUAUCUGGCUGGCUGGUGUGCCCUACUCCUCUCGCGUGGUGGCAAAUUAGUUCUCCUCUCUGCCGUCCUAGAUAGUCUCCCCACGUAUUUUAUGCUUUGUUUUUCUCUGCCCGUCCAGGUUAUUGAAGCAAUUGAUAAACGUAGACGCACUUUCUUCUAG
This 1146-nucleotide ribosomal RNA is filed under the name Triticum aestivum (bread wheat). Its description in RNAcentral is "partial small subunit ribosomal RNA". The record is from RNAcentral. Lineage: Eukaryota; Viridiplantae; Streptophyta; Magnoliopsida; Poales; Poaceae.